GAUGAACGCUGGCGGCGUGCCUAAUACAUGCAAGUCGAACGCUGAAGCUUGGUGCUUGCACCGAGCGGAUGAGUUGCAAACGGGUGAGUAACGCGUAGGUAACCUGCCUCUUAGCGGGGGAUAACUAUUGGAAACGAUAGCUAAUACCGCAUAAAAGUUGACAUUGCAUGAUGUUGAUUUGAAAGAUGCAAUUGCAUCACUAAGAGAUGGACCUGCGUUGUAUUAGCUAGUUGGUGAAGUAACGGCUCACCAAGGCGACGAUACAUAGCCGACCUGAGAGGGUGAUCGGCCACACUGGGACUGAGACACGGCCCAGACUCCUACGGGAGGCAGCAGUAGGGAAUCUUCGGCAAUGGACGGAAGUCUGACCGAGCAACGCCGCGUGAGUGAAGAAGGUUUUCGGAUCGUAAAGCUCUGUUGUAAGAGAAGAACGAGUGUGAGAGUGGAAAGUUCACACUGUGACGGUAACUUACCAGAAAGGGACGGCUAACUACGUG
This 497-nucleotide ribosomal RNA is filed under the name uncultured bacterium. RNAcentral's name for it is "partial 16S ribosomal RNA". It matches the Rfam family "Bacterial small subunit ribosomal RNA", at positions 28 to 507 of the family's 1533-position model. The record is from RNAcentral.